AGAAACAGAAUACCUAGAAAAGAAGCAGGGAAAGAGACGAAAACAGGGGAAGAAAAGGGGAAAGAAAAAUAAAAGGGAAAACUAAGGAUUUAAAGCUUCAAGUUAAUUGGUAAGCUAAAUUUAGCCCUUUCCUCUUCAUUUUGAUAUUUUAAAAGCUUUAAAACAAAAUUUUGUUGAAGUUAAGUGGAGGUUAUGGAAGUUCAUAGGUUUUUGAACAUGAUUCACUUUUGAACAAGUUGUUAAAUUAGGGGUUUAGUUGAUAGAAUUUUUAGUUAGAAUAGAUAAAAAGAAUGAUUUGUGAACUAAGUUGUAAGUUUUACAUAAUUGGGAUUAAGUUAUAAAAAGCCUUAAAUUAGGGUUUAUGUUGAAUAAAUGAUUGAAUUGAGGGUUUAUUUGAUAGAGUUUCUAGUUAGAGUUGAUAAAAGGAUUAAAUUGUGAACUAAACUAUAAGUUUUGAAUUUUAGGGAUUAAAUUGAGGAAAAUUCGAAAUUAGUGAAAAAUGCUGAAAAAUUAGUAGAUAAAUUUGGAUUUAGAAGGAAUUUGAAUAGAAAUAGAGUGUGAAUUAAGUUAGAAAAAUAAGUAAGCUUAUUUAGAAUUAAAUUGGGAAUAAGUAAGAAUUGAAUAAAAAUUUUAUUAUUAUUAUUGUUAAUAUAAUUAUUAUUAUUUUAAUGAUUAUAAUUAAAAGUGAAAAUAAUUAUUAUUUUCGUAGCUAACAAGGAAAACGAGGCAUCGGCAUCUAAAGGAAAAGAAAAGAUCGUUGAGGAGUAAACGCGUAUUCCGGGUUUGUAUUACUAUAACUUAAUCUAUUUAAUAAAUGCUAUAUUGAAAUUGUAUUCAUGAGACAUUUAAAGGAAGGUAAGUAUUAACAUUUGAAAUUAAGUAAGAAUAUGUGUAUAUUGAAUUAUAUGUGAAUUGAAAUAAUAGAUGUUUUGUAUUGAUUGAAUAUUUGAAAUUGUUGUGGAAAUGAAUUCGAAAUAGGAAAAGUAAAAUAAUACCCUAUUAACUUAUCGGACUAGAUUGGAUACAAAUGGCAUGCCAUAGGAUUUGUAAUGUGAUGAGGAGAUUUGUAGUUCGGCCGAGAAGAUGACUAUGUUAUUAAAUGCUUCGGUUUAUCCGAAGAGGCAUUAAAUGCCUUAUUGGUGUGUUUGGGAGGUUAUGAUAUACUGGUGUGUUAUGGAGGAUUUAAAUUAUUUCGGGUGUGUUUAGGUUGGAUAUUUUGGUGUGUUUGGGUGGAAUCCGCGUAUCUGUCAGAGUCCGAGCCUUGUUAAUAGGGUAAAUAAUUGAAAUGGAAAUUUGAAAAUGAGAUUAGUUGAUUUGACACUAUUGAAAAAUAUGAGAAAGAAUGUAUGAUAUAAAUUAUGAAUUGAUUUAGUAUGUAAAUAUUUAAAUAUAUAAAUUUCAGAUUUAUGGAAUGAUAUAUGAAUAUUUAUAUUUAGUUUAAAGUGAUUUUUUUUAAAGACUAUGGUCAAUAUUUGAAAUUUUAUUAUUAUUAAAUAGUUUAAUUUAUAAUAAUACCACUGAGUAUAAAAUACUCAGCGUACGGUUGUUUCCGUGCGCAGGUUGAAAAGGGGUUAGUGUCUCGGUUCAGCAUCCAGGACAAUCCCGACUCCGACAUAAAGAUUUUGGUGAUGUUUUCUUCCUUUAAGAGAAAGUGGCAUGUACAUAGGAUUUAUAAUAGUUAUUUUGGCAUGUUAUAUAGUUUUGUUGUAAAGUAAGAUAUUAUGUGUUUUGAUGAUU
RNAcentral lists this long non-coding RNA (1737 nucleotides) under Gossypium barbadense (sea-island cotton). Its description in RNAcentral is "long non-coding RNA (GBAR_LNC018327)". The record is from RNAcentral. Lineage: Eukaryota; Viridiplantae; Streptophyta; Magnoliopsida; Malvales; Malvaceae.